This is a long non-coding RNA of Poecile atricapillus (Black-capped chickadee), 1289 nucleotides long. RefSeq lists it as uncharacterized. The transcript is spliced from 4 exons. The record is from RefSeq and is a predicted model, not a curated record. Lineage: Eukaryota; Metazoa; Chordata; Aves; Passeriformes; Paridae.
CCGGGUGGGUGGGUGGGGAGGAGGUUGGGGACAACCUGGGGACAACCUGGGGACAACCUGGGGACAACCUGGAGGUCUCCAAGGGGCCACCUUGGGGGUCUCCAGGUGGUUUUGGGGGCUUUUUUUGGGGUCUCCAGGUGGUUUUUUGGGUUCUUUUGGAUCUCCUGGUGGUUUUUGGAGGUUCCUCGAGGAACCUCCUCCACAGGGAUCUCCAGGUGGGGUUUUUUGGACCUCCAGGUGGUUUUGUGGGUUCUCCAGGUGGUUCUUUGGUAUCUCCAGGUGGUUUUCUGAAGGUUCCUCGAGGAACCUCCUCCACAGGGAUCUCCAGGUGGGGUUUUUUGGAUCUCCAGGUGGUUUUGUGGGAUCUCCAGGUGGUUUUUUUGGUAUCUCCAGGUGGUUUUUUGAAGGUUCCUCAAGGAACCUCCUCCACAGGGACCUCCAGGUGGGUUUUUUUGUAUCUCCAGAUACUUUUCUGAAGGUUCCUCAGGAAACCUCCUCCACAAGGACCUCCAGGUGAGUUUUUUUGGAUCUCCAGAUGUUUUUUUGGUAUCUCCAGGUGUUUUUUUGGGCUCUCCACGUGGUUCCUGAAGGUUCCUCAAGGAACCUUCUCCACGGGGUCAUCUCAGGUUGAUUUUUUGGUAUCUCCAGGUGGUUUUCUGGAGGUUCCUCAAGGAACCUCCUCCACAGGGAUCUCCAGCUGGGUUUUUUUGAACCUCCAGAUGUUUUUUUGAUAUCUCCACCUCCUUCCCAGAAGAUCCCUCAAAAAAACCACCUCCACAAGGACCUCCAGGUGGGUUUUUGGUAUCUCCAGGUGGUUUUUUGAUAUCUCCAGGUGGUUUUUUGGGUUCUUUGGGAUCUCCACAUGGUUCUUUUCGGGUUUUUUGGUAUCUCCAUGUGGUUUUUUGGGCUCUCCACGUGGUUCCUGAAGGUUCCUCAAGGAACCUCCUCCACGAGGAGACCUCAAAAUGAUUCUUUUGGUAUCUCCAGGUGGUUUUUUGGGCUCUCCACCUGGUUCCUGAAGGUUCCUCAAGGAACCUCCUCCACACGAAGAUCUCAAAGAGCUUUUUUGGUAUCUCCAGAUGUUUUUUUGGAUUCUUUGGGUGGUUUUGUGGGUUCUCCAGGUGGUUCUUUGAAGGUUCCUCAAGGAACCUUCUCCACAGGGACCUCCAGGUGGGGUUUUUUUGUAUCUCCAGGUGGUUUUUUGGAUUCUUUGUGAUCUCCACCUGGUUCCUGAAGGUUCCUCAAGGAACCUCCUCCACGAGGAGACCUCAAAAUGAUUCUUUUGGGCU